GACGAACGCUGGCGGCGCGCCUAACACAUGCAAGUCGAACGAGCGAGAGAGAGCUUGCUUUCUCGAGCGAGUGGCGAACGGGUGAGUAACGCGUGAGGAACCUGCCUCAAAGAGGGGGACAACAGUUGGAAGCGACUGCUAAUACCGCAUAACGCCCACAGGUCGGCAUCGACCAGAGGGAAAGGAGCAAUCCGCUUUGAGAUGGCCUCGCGUCCGAUUAGCUGGUUGGUGGGGUAACGGCCUACCAAGGCGACGAUCAGUAGCCGGCCUGAGAGGGUGAACGGCCACAUUGGGACUGAGACACGGCCCAA
RNAcentral lists this ribosomal RNA (311 nucleotides) under uncultured bacterium. Its description in RNAcentral is "bacterial SSU rRNA". It matches the Rfam family "Bacterial small subunit ribosomal RNA", at positions 28 to 334 of the family's 1533-position model. The record is from RNAcentral.